AUGAAUGAAUUAUUUCUCAUAGAUAACAACAAAAAACUUGCAAAAGUUGACACUAGUGGCGUAAAACUCAACUUUCCCCAGAAAACCAAAAGCUUGCCGGAAAAUAUAGCCGGUAUUGCUCAUCAGCAGUCUGUAACAGCGAAGAAGUCCGUUCAGAAUUUUGCUGUGUUGCAUUCAGAUGUUGAAGCAGUGAUUCAGGAGGAAAAUAAGUAA
This is a non-coding RNA of Vicia faba (fava bean), 213 nucleotides long. NCBI's taxonomy places the organism in Eukaryota, Viridiplantae, Streptophyta, Magnoliopsida, Fabales, Fabaceae. The record is from the annotation of a GenBank genome assembly.